GUUGAACGCUGGCGGCGUGCUUAACACAUGCAAGUCGAGCGAGAAGUGGAGGCGGGCACCUUCGGUCGGCAGACUUUGCGUCGGUUGGCGGUCGGGUGAGUAACGCUUGUGGAACCUGCCUUAUACAGGGGGGUACCAGUUCGGAAUGAGUGUUAAUACCGCAUGAGACCAAAGCUCCGCACUGUGGGGGGGUAAAAAGUCCGGGUGGAUGUGACUGACCCGCGUGCGAUUGGCCAGUUAGGGGCGUAACGGCCCACCAAAGUGACGAUCGAUAGCCGGUCAGGGAGGAUGACCGGCCACACUUGGAGUGAGACACGGCCGAAAAUCUUACGGGAGGCAGCAGUGCGGAAUACAGCACUAUGGCGGAAAUCAUGAAGCUGCGACGCCGCGUGAGUGCAGAAAUAUUUCGGUAUGGAAAGCUCUAUCAGCACGGAAGAAAUUGACAUUACCAGAAGAAGAAGCCCCGGCUAACUACGUG
This 478-nucleotide ribosomal RNA is filed under the name uncultured bacterium. RNAcentral describes it as "partial 16S ribosomal RNA". It matches the Rfam family "Bacterial small subunit ribosomal RNA", at positions 28 to 507 of the family's 1533-position model. The record is from RNAcentral.